AAAUUGUUCUAGAAUUAGUAUGAUUUUAAUGUUCUGCUCUAGAUCAUCCUAGCAAAAUAUUAACCUGUUCUAAAAAGGUAAUCUUGAGAGGCACACAAAUUGAUUAGAUAACAUAUUAUUUUGAAUGAUUAUAUUCCAGAAAAUUAUGAAUGUGUAAAUUUUAUCCUUAUAGAAAAACUUAAAUUAGUUUUUUAGAAAAAGCAUUGUGAAAAAUAAAAAUAUUUAUUACAAAAUAAUCUAUCAUUGUAUUCUAUAAUGGAGAUUGUGUAGUUAAUAAUAGAAUAAAAAAACACCCCAGAUAGAAUUUAUAUCAAAAAGAACGAAAAAUAAUAUAUCUGCAUCUUUCCUUCACAGUUUUUAUAUCAUGAUGAGUGAAAUUGGAAGAUUAUUACAUUUUGUUUAAAUUACUAGGGGUCUGCCCCUGCAGUCUUCAAUCAUCAACUCCGUGGAGGCUGCAUCCCCUAUAUUCAGAUCUCAAGACAGAGUAGUUUAUCUGAACAUCAACAAAGAAAUUUCUAUGUAUGAAGUUUCUGUAAAUGAUCUAACCAUCAUAUUGGAAAUGAGCAUUAAGUUUAUAUUGGCAUUGCAUGCUAAUAUAAAUUCAGAAAAUGUUUGUAAAAAAUUAAGACUUGACCUUUAAAAAAGAUUGUCUUGAAUAGAAAUCACAAACCCCAUCAAUGGCAAAAAGUGUCAAAAUAGAGACGUAUUCUCACAGAAGAGGGAUGCCUUCAUCAUCAAAACAGCUAGGAUUCGUGAUUUCUCUUAUUUAGAAGUAUUACAAAUGUGUAUAACAAAAUGGUGUUUAGAAGGAACAGUAAAUAACAGUUGUAAAACUUGCAGUCACAAGAAGCUGGUGUAUCCGAUAGAUGAGAGAAGGUUGUCAUGGCUUGUCCAGGAAAACGGAAAGGCUACAGUUGUAACUCUUAUUAUAUCUUACAACCAAAGCCUAAAGCAAAAGCCAUCUCCAAUAGAACAAUGGAACAUGCAUUGCGUAGAUUGGAAUAUAACAGCGGAUGUCCUCUCCAGCAUUCCCAUUUGAUUACACACCAUCAAAAUCAGUGCCUUAUUUAUAGUGCUGGGAAUGGCAGAAUUCAAUUGUAGACCAAUGAAAAAAGUGUGUUGGUCCAUUGAAUCUAUUUUCUAUUGAAGACAGUUGACAGAUGGAUAAAGAUGUGGCAACAAUAUUAUAAUUCUAUGGAUCUCAGUUGCUACAUUGAGAUCCAGUAAACUGGAGGUAGUGUGAUGAUCUGGGAUCUGUUUUACAGGGAUUCCUCUGGUGUGCUGGUUGAUGUCAUCCAUAUCAUGAAAGCCAGAGAUGGAGUCUUAUUUCAAAUCACAUAUAUCCAGCAAUGAGGAUCCUCUUCCCAUAAGGGAAUAGCAUGUUCCAAUAGGAAAAUGUUCAUUAUCAUAUAGCCAAACUUAUGCUAAACUGAUUUGAGGAAAAUUCAGCCAGUUUGAGGCCAUGGAGCAUUACUUUGCUCCUUGAAUUGCCAAUUCAUCCAAAUUCAUCUAAUUUUCCAUCAUCUCAUAGAUUGAACAUCUAUGAUAUGAUGAAGUGUUGAUUAUGCAUGCUGGAGCCAUCAUUGGGAUAUGUACAUGAACUUUAGCAAGUUCUGCAUGAAUAUGGCAGAAUAUGGAUCCUGUAUAUAUCCACAACCUUGUAGCAUUUAUGCCAUGUUGUGUUUGGGCUGUCAUUGCAGCAAAAGGAGCAGUGAUGGUUCAAACACAACAUGCAUAUGUUAAAUGAAUGUUUACAUUCAAAGAUGUGAACAUUUAUUUAACAUCAACAUGCUAUUAAAUGAAUGUUCACAUCUUUUUGCCACAAUAAUAUAUAAACUUUGGAGUAACAUGUGCAAAGUCGCUAAUUCUAUCGACUUUCAAGUAUCAACAACAAGACUUAUAAUUAAACCUAAUGGUUAACACGACUCUGC
This 1931-nucleotide long non-coding RNA is filed under the name Androctonus crassicauda. The record is from RNAcentral. Lineage: Eukaryota; Metazoa; Arthropoda; Arachnida; Scorpiones; Buthidae.